AUGUGUUGCCUUUUCCCCCUGCCCACAACAAGUUACUCUAUUAGACCUCGGUAUCUGAUAUUUUUCUCUUUUCAGUGGUUUCCAAAGAUAUUUACUGAUGAUUACCUUGCAAACUACAUGACCGGGGUGGAGGCAACUAAGGUUAAAGUAUAUAAUUCAUGCUACCAUGAUAAUGCUCUAGAAGUCUUUCUGAAGGCGAUGAAGGAUGGGCAGGCGAUCAUCACAAGGGGUUGGACAAAAAUGGUUCGUGCCUAUGGCAUGCAGGAAGGCACAUUAUGGGCAUUCCGGUUCUUCAACACCGUCGACGGUCAAAAUGAUUUACACUUGUCUCUUCACCUUUUACCGCCUUUUAAUAUUGUGGUUCAUCAUAGUUAA
This 375-nucleotide ribosomal RNA is filed under the name Triticum aestivum (bread wheat). RNAcentral's name for it is "partial small subunit ribosomal RNA". Lineage: Eukaryota; Viridiplantae; Streptophyta; Magnoliopsida; Poales; Poaceae. The record is from RNAcentral.